RNAcentral lists this ribosomal RNA (465 nucleotides) under uncultured bacterium. Its description in RNAcentral is "partial 16S ribosomal RNA". It matches the Rfam family "Bacterial small subunit ribosomal RNA", at positions 28 to 507 of the family's 1533-position model. The record is from RNAcentral.
GACGAACGCUGGCGGCGUGCUUAACACAUGCAAGUCGAACGGAAAGGCCCUGCUUGCAGGGUACUCGAGUGGCGAACGGGUGAGUAACACGUGGGUGAUCUGCCCUGCACUUCGGGAUAAGCCUGGGAAACUGGGUCUAAUACCGGAUAGGAGCCAUUUUUAGUGUGAUGGUUGGAAAGUUUUUUCGGUGUAGGAUGAGCUCGCGGCCUAUCAGCUUGGUGGUGGGGUAAUGGCCUACCAAGGCGGCGACGGGUAGCCGGCCUGAGAGGGUGGACGGCCACAUUGGGACUGAGGUACGGCCCAGACUCCUACGGGAGGCAGCGGUGGGGAAGAUUGCACAAGGGGCGCAAGGCUGAUGCAGCGACGCCGCGUGGGGGAUGACGGCCUUGGGGUUGUAAAAUCCUUUCGCUAGGGACGAAGCUUUUUGUGACGGUACCUAGAUAAGAAGCACCGGCUAACUACGUG